UACGUAGGGUGCGAGCGUUAAUCGGAAUUACUGGGCGUAAAGCGUGCGCAGGCGGCUUUGCAAGACAGAUGUGAAAUCCCCGGGCUCAACCUGGGAACUGCAUUGGAGACUGCGUGGCUAGAGUGUGGCAGAGGGGGGUGGAAUUCCGCGUGUAGCAGUGAAAUGCGUAGAUAUGCGGAGGAACACCAAUGGCGAAGGCAAUCCCCUGGGCCUGUACUGACGCUCAUGCACGAAAGCGUGGGGAGCAAACAGG
This 253-nucleotide ribosomal RNA is filed under the name uncultured bacterium. RNAcentral's name for it is "partial 16S ribosomal RNA". It matches the Rfam family "Bacterial small subunit ribosomal RNA", at positions 524 to 776 of the family's 1533-position model. The record is from RNAcentral.